CGCUCUCCUCCCCCACCUUCGGUGGCCUUGCCGCGCUCCUUCCCGUGCCGAACUUCCAAAAAGCACCUUUGAGUUCAAGCCGGUGACGGAUUCCGUCGAUGCGAGGCCGAAGGCGCCAUAUCCAGACCACUAACAACACGACGCCGGCAGCAACCUUCCCACAAGCAGCGGCCGUGGUGUAGUCGGCCUCCCUGUAGAGCUUCCUCCCGCCCUCGGCCCAUGCGGCGACGUCGUCGUCCCAGAACCGGCCCAACCGCGCCCGCCCCUUCCAGUGCGUGGCCGUUUCCGCCCCGUCGGCGGCGGCCGCCUCGCCGUCGGCCUCGGCCGUCCCGGCGGAGCGGCUGGAGCCGUGGGUGGAGCAGCGCUGCAACGGGAGGGCGGGUACUGGGUGCCUCACAAGCUCACCAAGCUGCCCAUGGAGGAGAUCAACGCCACAAGCUCACCAAGGAGGACGUCGACGUGCGGCUCAAGUGGCUCGGCCUCUUCCACCGCCGCAAGCAGUAGUGUAUGCCCCUGCUCUGUCAAGGUUCUGAGGCAUCAUCUUGUGGAGGACUCAUGUUGAGAUCAAUCCCAAACAUCAUUGCGGCGAUGGAGCACUUGCUCAGAACAAGUAGUGAUGGGCUGCUUGCUUGAGCCUACACCAUGCUGUCUUUUGUUCAGACUUGAGAGUAAACAAAGAGCAGCUGUAAAAGCUUUGUUUCUUUUACAAUUCCUAGAUACUCUGCAUCUACUCCCAAAUUCUGUACUGAAUAAAAUUGUUCUGUACUGAAUAAAACUGUUCUGUACUGAAUAAUGCCAAAUUGUACAAGGAGGACAUUGGAUCAUUGUCUAGUGCAGAACAAGCAAUGGGCCUGAAGAAAACUGUUCUAUACUGAAUAAUUUCUGGAAGUGCAUGUGAAUACCACCAGCAGCAACUAUUCCAGCA
Triticum urartu is the source of this 925-nucleotide non-coding RNA. The record is from RefSeq and is a predicted model, not a curated record. NCBI's taxonomy places the organism in Eukaryota, Viridiplantae, Streptophyta, Magnoliopsida, Poales, Poaceae.